GAUGUCUAAAUUGAAAUGAACUCUUUGUCAAAAGCCCAAUAAAAUUAAGCUCACGGUUAACAAAAAUGAACCCAUUUCGUGAAAAAAAAGGUCUCAGUUCUAGCUGCCAUGGCGGUUAUCGGCAUCGGAAUCUAAUUGUCUCAUUUCUAGCUAGCGUCGUUCUUCAUCAGUCGAUCUCCAUUCUUCACUCCGGCUAGUUUUAUUGCAGGCACACUUGGCUUAUGGGAGUGGCAACUGUGUUGAAAAUGCUUCAACAUUAAAGGCUGCAUACAAGGUGGGGGGACAUUGCAUCAAUGCUUAAUAUUUAUUAAAUGAAGAUGAAAACACCCACAUUAGUUCAAUGAUUGUAACUAGUUAAAGGGAAGAAUAGUCUCUUGCAUAUUGGCCAAUGGUUCAGUGAUUGCAACAAAGUAAAAAGUGAAGAAUAAGUUGUUUCUUAUUCUCCAAAGUGAUUUUUACUAAAGAACAUGACACGAGAUUACUGCAAAAAGUGUCAAGAUUGUUGCUAGGAGCUUGGGUCUCUUGAAGAUUGAUGAUAUAGUUUUAGCACAAGACAAUGCAGAGUGGAAUUUCGAUAAAUAAAUUGUAGUGACAGCUAUGUUUUGCUGCUGAUUCUUAUAUUUGGUCUAGUUGUGGUCUAGUAUUUUGUCUUUUGAAUUAUUUGUUUUUGCUUAUAAUUUAAAUGAAUGUAAACUCCAAAUUAAAAAUUAAAAUAAAUUUUAUAAAUUAGUUUUUAAAACUAAAUAUUUGUCACCAAAUAAUUAAUUUAUAUAAUUAUUUAUUUAUUAUUGCCAACUAAAAUAUUUGGUCACCAAAUAUUUCAU
Long non-coding RNA from Cannabis sativa, 824 nucleotides. RefSeq lists it as uncharacterized. Lineage: Eukaryota; Viridiplantae; Streptophyta; Magnoliopsida; Rosales; Cannabaceae. The transcript is spliced from 6 exons. The record is from RefSeq and is a predicted model, not a curated record.